GACGAACGCUGGCGGCGUGCUUAACACAUGCAAGUCGAACGCUGAAGCUUGGUGCUUGCACUGGGUGGAUGAGUGGCGAACGGGUGAGUAAUACGUGAGUAACCUGCCCUUGACUCUGGGAUAAGCCUGGGAAACUGGGUCUAAUACUGGAUACGACAUGUCACCGCAUGGUGGUGUGUGGAAAGGGUUUUACUGGUUUUGGAUGGGCUCACGGCCUAUCAGCUUGUUGGUGGGGUAAUGGCUCACCAAGGCGACGACGGGUAGCCGGCCUGAGAGGGUGACCGGCCACACUGGGACUGAGACACGGCCCAGAAUCCUACGGGAGGCAGCAGUGGGGAAUAUUGCACAAUGGGCGGAAGCCUGAUGCAGCGACGCCGCGUGAGGGAUGACGGCCUUCGGGUUGUAAACCUCUUUCAGCACGGAAGAAGCGAAAGUGACGGUACGUGCAGAAGAAGCGCCGGCUAACUACGUG
This 472-nucleotide ribosomal RNA is filed under the name uncultured bacterium. RNAcentral's name for it is "partial 16S ribosomal RNA". It matches the Rfam family "Bacterial small subunit ribosomal RNA", at positions 28 to 507 of the family's 1533-position model. The record is from RNAcentral.